Molecule: unclassified non-coding RNA, 2654 nt
Filed under: Dendronephthya gigantea
Lineage: Eukaryota; Metazoa; Cnidaria; Anthozoa; Malacalcyonacea; Nephtheidae
Description: adhesive plaque matrix protein 2-like, transcript variant X1
Source: RNAcentral
AAUACUCCGACGGACAAGAACUAACUGCUUUCAAAUAAACAAGGAUUUUUUUCGUAUUUCAAGUUGUUUAUCGAGAUUCCAAUGUGAUUUUCUGACGGAAUCUGGGUCUAGAGAAGACCUCGCUAUGAAUUUAUUGUUGGCGUUUUAUGGAUUUUGUUUGAUACUGCUCGUGAACGAUAAAGUCCACGGGAAUCAGCAAGGACGUCAUGGGGCCAACAAGAAGCAUAGUAAACAUCAAAAGAAACGGGUUGGUUUAAAAGAAAAUGAUUUCAAGAAGACGCAUUUGAGUUCAAAGGAUAAAAAGGCAGACAUUACUAAACGACAGUUUAUGUUCAGACCUUAUGGGCCUCCCAAUUACCCAAUCCUAAAACCUCCACCGAUACGCCAUUUUGUAGUUCAUCACCACGCAAUUCCAGUGGCUUGUGAUCCUAACCCGUGCCAGAACGCGGGAACUUGUACUGUAGUUGUCAAGGGUUACGAGUGCACGUGCCCGGCUGGGUUCAUGGGCUCACAUUGUGAAGUUCGAAGUCAAUGUGAACCAAAUCCAUGUAAGAAUGGUGGAUCGUGCUACGAUGUGGGGACUGGAUACGAAUGCACGUGUUCCAUUGGUUUCAAAGGCAGCACUUGUGAAGACAAGAACAAGUGUCAUCCUAAUCCUUGUCGCAAUGGAGGGAUAUGUACGGGUACCAAUGACCUUGAUGGAUUUGAAUGUACUUGCAGGGAGGGAUACAAGGGGAAGAGUUGUGAAGCUGUAAACCAGUGUAGUCCUAAUCCCUGCAAGAACGGAGCGUUGUGUAUCGAGAAGGGGGCUAAGUACGAAUGCACGUGUCCUCUAGGAUACAAGGGAGUAACUUGUGAAGAACGCAGUAAUUGUUUCUCUGCGCCAUGUCUCAACGGUGGAACUUGCAUUGAAGAACCUGGCGGAUAUAAAUGCAACUGUAAAUAUCAUUACAGCGGCAUAAAUUGCCAAGAUCACGUUUGCCACCCUUCUCCAUGUCAGAAUUCCGGGACGUGUCUCGAGGAACGUGGAUCUUUCAGAUGUGUUUGUGGCAUAGGAUACCAUGGAAAUAACUGCGAAUACGAGACACCCUGUAUUUCACAUCCUUGUCUCAAUGGUGGCACUUGCAUUGACACAACUGCUGUGCACUAUCAUCACCUUGAUGCCAGCAUGGUAUCCCCAUCAUCUAUGUACACUAAUGGAUAUUAUUGCAAAUGUUCCUCGGGGUAUUCAGGGACACAUUGUGAAGAUGACUCCUGCAGUCACUGUCAUUUCUUCGCGGAUUGUUUUGGAACCAGAUGUCGUUGCAGAGCUGGUUACCAUGGAGACGGGAAGCGCUGUCACAAAAAUGUUUGUCAUCCUAAUCCAUGCAAGAAUUCUGGAAAAUGUGUUGAGGCGGGUGAAAGCUUUGAUUGCGACUGUCCUUCUGGUUACACUGGACCUCUCUGUCAGGUUCGUCAAUUUUGUCUUCCAAAUCCGUGCAAGAAUGAAGGUGUGUGCGUCCCGUCAACUCAAGCAUACUCGUGUUCCUGCAAGCGAGGAUUCAAAGGCGACGAUUGCUCAGAAGGUGACGUUUGCAAUCCCAACCCUUGUCGAAAUGGCGGGACUUGUCGGGAGGAAAACAAUGCCGCUGUUUGCGCAUGCGCUAUGCAGUUUGAAGGAAAGGUUUGUGAAGUUGACAGAUGUGCCAAAUGUCCUGAGAAUGCUCAUUGUGAACAAGGUCGUUGCGUUUGUAAUGACGGUUACCUCGAGACUGCUGAGAAACGAUGCGAAAUUGAACGAGGAGGAGCCCAAGAUCCAUGUACUCCUAACAGAUGUAAAAACGGCGGUGUUUGUCGCCAACCAGGACGAUGUGAGUGUCCCGAAGGUUAUGACGGGAGAUUUUGUGAACAAGAGGACACUCAGUCAAUUGGUGCAGCGGAUCCUUGUAGUCCUAACCCUUGCAAGAACAAUGGUGUUUGUUCCGUAACGGCAAACAAACCGAACUGUCAAUGUCCACAGGGAUUCUCUGGCGAUUAUUGUCAAGUUCAAGCCCAGGCUCCCAAGUCUCAGUGCCACCCUAACCCGUGUCAAAAUGCUGGGACAUGUCGUGAGAACGGGCCUGGAUACGAUUGCAUCUGCACCACAGGAUUCAAAGGACCUCAUUGUGAAAUUGACGAAUGUGAAAAAUGUGAUCCGCAUGCAAUAUGUGUCAGCGGUCACUGCAAGUGCAGGACGGGUUACAUAGGAAAUGGAUACGAAUGUUUAAAAGACUCGGACAGUGGUUGUGACAGCUGUAGUUCCCAGGCCACGUGUAAGAAAGGGACGUGUGUUUGUCUUUUCCCGCUUAUCGGAGAUGGACAGACCUGCUCAAUGCCCCCACCUCCUCCACCACCGCCUCCCCCUCCCCCACCGACUUCAUUCUGUACGUAUUCAACGUGCCCGCCUCCCAGUCAAUGUUAUGGUAAUAUUUGUAUGUCUAAAAGUUAGCUUAUUCUUGACCAACCGCACUCCGCGAAUUCUUCGUGCGAAUGAUUUUGAGAGUUAAAACCACACAGUCAUGAGACAAAGAAAACCUGUUUUAACCUGUUGUGAGAUGUAACUUUGGCUGCCAUAAAAUUGGUCACAAAAUGUCUGUCGUCCCAAUCUGGGUAAGGAUUCUGGGAAAUUUUUGAGG